Molecule: long non-coding RNA, 892 nt
Organism: Paramisgurnus dabryanus
Lineage: Eukaryota; Metazoa; Chordata; Actinopteri; Cypriniformes; Cobitidae
Source: RefSeq, a predicted model, not a curated record
GAACAUUAGACAUUAAUUCUAUUUUGGACAUUCAGCCUAAGGAAAAGGGAGAGGAGAGGAAAAAAAGAGGAACAUUGUGAAUAUCCAGGACACAUCCGGUCCAAAGGAAUAUUUUCACACUGCUGAAACAGCUGUCUGUGUUGGGGGAAUAAAUGCGGUUUUACUUCCUGUGCACUCAGCACGGCUGCAAUCUCUGCCUCAAAAGAUCUCGCUGAAGGUGGAGACCUCGUGACACCGUCCUGCUGAAGAUUUCGUUUCAUGAGGUGCAGCCGCGGGGUGGUGGUGCGGCCAGGUGGAGCUGGGGUCGUCCGCGGAGCAUUUAAAACCCCAUCAAGCUUCCUAUCCCCUAAAGACAGAUUAAGUCAAUCAAAGACAUGAAUGAAUCUUAACUAAUCCUUUUCUUUCAGCUUGUUUACAGCACCGCUCAGAAAAGCAGCAUGGGCCGCUGAUUGAAGCAUUGUGUUGCAAAGUGACGCCCAUCAUCCAUCUCCCCCCGUUUCAUCUGUCCCGACCCUAGAAACAAGAGCAGCUUGAAUACAUGGAGUGCUAAUUGAGAGUCAAGGGGUUACGACCUUUGGAUAGGAGUCCACGUGACUCCACCCAGCUCCCCGGAGAGGGAACCACGGCUUGGAUGAGCUCGGGGUACGGUUUGAAACCGAGGUCACGUGGAGAGUAGAUCCCACCGAGGAGGGGGUAGUGGAGAAGAUAUAGGGUUGGAUCAGGUUGGGUUCAGGGGGAUUUGCAUUUGGCCAGAGGAGCUUUUAUCCCAAGGAAAGCUAAAGGGGGGCUUGGGUGAUGGGACAGCCUCUCAAUGAUCCUUUCAUCUGGAUCUGGAGAAGAGGUUGGAACACAGAGCUGGGUUUAGACAGCAGGCAGGAGUCCCAUGCGGAGA